This 75-nucleotide transfer RNA is filed under the name Planctomycetes bacterium RIFCSPHIGHO2_02_FULL_52_58. Its description in RNAcentral is "tRNA-Gly". It matches the Rfam family "tRNA". From Rfam's summary of the family: Transfer RNA (tRNA) molecules are approximately 80 nucleotides in length. Their secondary structure includes four short double-helical elements and three loops (D, anti-codon, and T loops). Lineage: Bacteria; Pseudomonadati; Planctomycetota. RNAcentral also lists the same sequence under 5 other names. The record is from RNAcentral.
GCGGGCGUAAUUCAGUGGUAGAAUACUAGCUUCCCAAGCUAGGCGUCGUGGGUUCGAAUCCCAUCGCCCGCUCCA